UACGUAGGGACCAAGCGUUGUUCGGAUUUACUGGGCGUAAAGGGCGCGUAGGCGGCAAUUCAAGUCAUCUGUGAAAUCUCCGGGCUUAACUCGGAACGGUCAGAUGAUACUGCUUUGCUAGAGUACAGAAGGGGCAAUCGGAAUUCUUGGUGUAGCGGUGAAAUGCGCAGAUAUCAGGAGGAACACCGGUGGCGAAGGCGGGUCUCUGGGCCGAUACUGACGCUGAGGAGCGAAAGCGUGGGGAGCAAACAGG
Molecule: ribosomal RNA, 253 nt
Filed under: uncultured bacterium
Lineage: Bacteria
Description: partial 16S ribosomal RNA
Rfam family: Bacterial small subunit ribosomal RNA
Source: RNAcentral